GAUGAAGAACGCAGCGAAAUGCGAUACGUAAUGUGAAUUGCAAAUUCAGUGAAUCAUCGAGUCUUUGAACGCACAUUGCGCCCCCGGGUAUUCCGGGGGGCAUGCCUGUCCGAGCGUCAUUGCUGCCCUCAAGCACGGCUUGUGUGUUGGGCCCCGUCCUCCGAUCCCGGGGGACGGGCCCGAAAGGCAGCGGCGGCACCGCGUCCGGUCCUCGAGCGUAUGGGGCUUUGUCACCCGCUCUGUAGGCCCGGCCGGCGCUUGCCGAUCAACCCAAAUUUUUAUCCAGGUUGACCUCGGAUCAGGUAGGGAUACCCGCUGAACUUAAGCAUAUCAAUAAGCGGAGGA
Molecule: unclassified non-coding RNA, 345 nt
Filed under: soil metagenome
Description: partial contains 5.8S ribosomal RNA, internal transcribed spacer 2, and large subunit ribosomal RNA
Rfam family: 5.8S ribosomal RNA (bases 1-119)
Source: RNAcentral